CAGUCGCCGCGGUAAUACCGAGGGUGCAAGCGUUAAUCGGAUUUACUGGGCGUAAAGCGUGCGUAGGCGGCUUCUUAAGUCGGAUGUGAAAUCCCUGAGCUUAACUUAGGAAUUGCAUUCGAUACUGGGAAGCUAGAGUAUGGGAGAGGAUGGUAGAAUUCCAGGUGUAGCGGUGAAAUGCGUAGAGAUCUGGAGGAAUACCGAUGGCGAAGGCAGCCAUCUGGCCUAAUACUGACGCUGAGGUACGAAAGCAUGGGGAGCAAACAGGAUUAGAUACCCGCGUAGUCCCUGUCUCUUAUAC
This 301-nucleotide ribosomal RNA is filed under the name uncultured bacterium. Its description in RNAcentral is "partial 16S ribosomal RNA". It matches the Rfam family "Bacterial small subunit ribosomal RNA", at positions 509 to 807 of the family's 1533-position model. The record is from RNAcentral.